Non-coding RNA from Lolium perenne, 851 nucleotides. NCBI's taxonomy places the organism in Eukaryota, Viridiplantae, Streptophyta, Magnoliopsida, Poales, Poaceae. The record is from RefSeq and is a predicted model, not a curated record.
GGUUGUUGUUUCCCAUGUCGUCGUCGUCCGGUCCAGCUGAAUCUCGGAGUGGCCACGCGAAUCACAAGGAGAGGAGGGGGACGGCCUAGCCACGACCACUAGUCCAAUCUCGAGAUCCAGCGAGGCGAUGUUGAUGCGCAGCAGAAGGUAGUAACACGGAAGCUUGCAAAGUACGGAAGAUGAUAGCCAUUGCGGACGGUUCGGACGGGACUGAUUGAUGAGUUGCAGUACCUGACCACACCUGACCGACCGAUGUGAGAUAGUUUCGGCGAACCAACGAUGCAGCGAGCAUCAAGCGCCGAUGCUCCUGGCAGUCCCCUUUCAGCGGCAGGCCCCAAUCCAUGGAGGGCUUCACCGUCGACCCAACCUCGACUCCUCACCGGUCCAGGAUGAUGGCCAGGUAUUUGCUGCCGAUGUUGUUGUUCGGACCAGCUUUAGCUGGUAGUGGAUGACUCACAAUGUGAGGAAGGGGACGGUCCGGCCACGACCAGUAGACCAAUCUCGAGCUCCAGCGUGACGUUGACGAUGCCCAGCAAAAGGAACGCGCAAGCUUGCAAAGCACGGAAGAUGAUGGCCAUUGCAUAUGGUCAGGACAGGAUUUUGCAUAUGUUGCUGCUGAUCGAUGCGGUGCAAUACGUUACCACACCUGACCGACCUUAACGAGAUAGUUUCGGCGAACCAACGAUGCAGCGAUUAAGCGCAAAGUAUCUUUUUUUUUUCUCUCUUGAUUUUCCUCGUGUGCUGCUCCAGGCUAGGAUAUGUACAACACUGAGUGAGGCAUGCAUCUUGGAUAGGAUUUAAGAGCGAGGCAUGCAUGAAUGAAAGCAACUCGAUUCUGUUUUCCUUCGAAA